This 482-nucleotide ribosomal RNA is filed under the name uncultured bacterium. RNAcentral describes it as "partial 16S ribosomal RNA". It matches the Rfam family "Bacterial small subunit ribosomal RNA", at positions 30 to 507 of the family's 1533-position model. The record is from RNAcentral.
AUUGAACGCUGGCGGCAUGCCUUACACAUGCAACUCGAACGGUAACGGGCCUUCGGGUGCCGACGAGUGGCGAACGGGUGAGUAAUACAUCGGAACGUGCCCGAUCGUGGGGGAUAACGAGGCGAAAGCUUUGCUAAUACCGCAUACGAUCUACGGAUGAAAGCAGGGGACCGCAAGGCCUUGCGCGGACGGAGCGGCCGAUGGCAGAUUAGGUAGUUGGUGGGAUAAAAGCUUACCAAGCCGACGAUCUGUAGCUGGUCUGAGAGGAUGAUCAGCCACACUGGGACUGAGACACGGCCCAGACUCCUACGGGAGGCGGCAGUGGGGAAUUUUGGACAAUGGGCGCAAGCCUGAUCCAGCCAUGCCGCGUGCAGGAUGAAGGCCUUCGGGUUGUAAACUGCUUUUGUACGGAACGAAAAGCCUUCUUUUAAUACAGGAGGGUCAUGACGGUACCGUAAGAAUAAGCACCGGCUAACUACGCG